GGAAUGUUGCCUAAUCUGGCAACAUCCCCCUAGCCAAUCUUAGCCAAUCAGAGAGCGCCCCGCGCCAUGACGUCAUUUUCGCGCGGUUGAGACCCAAGCCAAGUUUCCACUCUUUUUUCGUGAAUUUUGGGCUGUACGCCUGCGUGAAGACCAGUUCAAAGGUUAAAAUACGUCACAUCCACGUAGCCACAGCCUGGGGAAGCCAUAUUGUCCGUGUUUUUGCUUGAAAAACCUUCCGAAAAUCACAUAUUCCGGCGGCGAUUACCGCCAGAUAGGCAGUUGCAGGGUGCCCACAUAAAGGAAUUACGGAGAACUCGCAGGAUGUGCAUUUGUCCACAUGACAUGGGUGCUGGGAAAUUUGUGUAGGCAAUACGGGUACCGGUAGCUCCUAUGGUAGAUUGGAAGAUAUUUCCUAUACCGCAACAGCUGCCACAAUUUCUUUUUUAUCAAUGUUGUUUCUUUACAGUUUACUGAAGUAUUUUCAUUGUAUGCAUGUAUGUUGGUAGGUCUGUUUAUAAAAAUGACAUGAGUACUGAGACUAUGGUAGAAAAGACACCAUCACCAAGAAAUGUAAAUAAUGAUGUGGAAUCAUGAAUCGCAAAGUACAACAAAGAAUGAUCUCAGUUAUUGUUACAGUAUGAACAACUAUGGCCAGUUUCGUAUUGUUACAAUGUGUGGUAUAUCAGAGUUUGCAGCUAUUUGAUGACAAUAAUAGUGACAUUCAAGAAGAUGUUAUGAAUAUUUGGUAGAAUGAUGUAUGUUGUAAUUUUACUUCCAACAUUACUAGUACUAGUAUACUGGUCAUAUUUUGUAUGCUGAAUUAAAGUAAUCUUUGUACUCUGA
Molecule: long non-coding RNA, 843 nt
Organism: Branchiostoma belcheri (Belcher's lancelet)
Lineage: Eukaryota; Metazoa; Chordata; Leptocardii; Amphioxiformes; Branchiostomatidae
Exons: 2
Source: RefSeq, a predicted model, not a curated record